AAACCUGAGGUUUUACGGAGCGACGCAACAUGCACGGUGCCAUCUCCAGUGAUGCUUAACGGUGCAUCCGGGAUAUGAAAAGAUGACACUGCAAAUUCCCACAAACAUCAUGCAGAAUUCACGGACUGGAAUGGUUGUUGGUGGAAGAUGGUGCAGAGUCUAAGAGAAUUGACGUAUUAUCUUGGAUCCCAGUGGCAAGGGAACACUUCUGUCCUACAAUAAUCUCUCCCAUCCCCAACAGGAAAAAGGUAAAUUGUGUAUUCUGUUAUCUCUGCAGUCUGAGAAAAAUAACAAAUAAUCUAUUUUAAGUGAAAAUUUAUUGCUUGAUGUUCUGCUUCUGAUCCCCGUUGACACAUUAUUUUUUAUUUUUGUAUGCAUUGGCCCUAUUAGAUGGGGAUGAAACCUUGUUACAGCAAUCUCAAACACAGGUGUACUUAUCAUUGGCUUUUCCAGCGACUCCUCUUCCUUCUCACUGGCAGCCAGCACACCUGGCAUCCCGCACCUGCCACUGACUUCCUUUUAACAACUGAUCUGGACAUCAUGAUUUUAUGACCUUGCAAACUAAAACGCGAUCUCUUUACUGUAAUAAAGAAGAAAGAAAAAACCA
Molecule: long non-coding RNA, 607 nt
Organism: Homo sapiens (human)
Lineage: Eukaryota; Metazoa; Chordata; Mammalia; Primates; Hominidae
Exons: 2
Source: RefSeq, a predicted model, not a curated record